RNAcentral lists this transfer RNA (74 nucleotides) under Candidatus Aenigmatarchaeota archaeon. RNAcentral describes it as "tRNA-Lys". It matches the Rfam family "tRNA". From Rfam's summary of the family: Transfer RNA (tRNA) molecules are approximately 80 nucleotides in length. Their secondary structure includes four short double-helical elements and three loops (D, anti-codon, and T loops). Further hydrogen bonds mediate the characteristic L-shaped molecular structure. tRNAs have two regions of fundamental functional importance: the anti-codon, which is responsible for specific mRNA codon recognition, and the 3' end, to which the tRNAs corresponding amino acid is attached (by aminoacyl-tRNA synthetases). tRNAs cope with the degeneracy of the genetic code in two manners: having more than one tRNA (with a specific anti-codon) for a particular amino acid; and 'wobble' base-pairing, i.e. permitting non-standard base-pairing at the 3rd anti-codon position. The record is from RNAcentral. Lineage: Archaea; Nanobdellati; Candidatus Aenigmatarchaeota.
GGGCCCAUAGCUCAGCAUGGCAGAGCACCUGGCUUUUAACCAGUGGGUCGAGGGUUCAAAUCCCUCUGGGCUCA